GACACGGGGAGGUAGUGACAAUAAAUAACAAUACGGGGUUCUUUAGGAUAAUUGGAAUGAGUACAAUUUAAAUCUCUUAACGAGGAACAAUUGGAGGGCAAGUCUGGUGCCAGCAGCCGCGGUAAUUCCAGCUCCAAUAGCGUAUAUUAAAGUUGUUGCAGUUAAAAAGCUCGUAGUUGAAUUUCGGGGUUAGUAGGUUGGUCAUGCCUCUGGUAUGUACUGGUCUCACUGAUUCCUCCUUCCUUAUGAACCGUAAUGCCAUUAAUUUGGUGUUGCGGGGAAUUUGGACUGUUACUUUGAAAAAAUUAGAGUGUUUAAAGCAAGCUAACGCUUGAAUACAUUAGCAUGGAAUAAUGAAAUAGGACGUUCGAUCUUAUUUUGUUGGUUUCUAGGAUUGACGUAAUGAUUAAUAGGGAUAGUUGGGGGCAUUAGUAUUCAAUUGUCAGAGGUGAAAUUCUUGGAUUUAUUGAAGACUAACUACUGCGAAAGCAUUUGCCAAGGAUGUUUUCAUUAAUCAAGAACGAAAGUUAGGGGAUCGAAGACGAUCAGAUACCGUCGUAGUCUUAACCAUAAACUAUGCCGACUAGGGA
Molecule: ribosomal RNA, 590 nt
Filed under: uncultured fungus
Lineage: Eukaryota; Fungi
Description: SSU rRNA
Rfam family: Eukaryotic small subunit ribosomal RNA
Source: RNAcentral